This 30-nucleotide non-coding RNA is filed under the name Rattus norvegicus (Norway rat). The record is from RNAcentral. Lineage: Eukaryota; Metazoa; Chordata; Mammalia; Rodentia; Muridae.
UGCAAGACAAUACAAAGAUCUGAUGGAAUU